RNAcentral lists this ribosomal RNA (296 nucleotides) under bacterium DEN D3. Its description in RNAcentral is "partial 16S ribosomal RNA". It matches the Rfam family "Bacterial small subunit ribosomal RNA", at positions 1173 to 1466 of the family's 1533-position model. The record is from RNAcentral.
GUGGGGAUGACGUCAAAUCAUCAUGCCCCUUAUGAUUUGGGCUACACACGUGCUACAAUGGACAAUACAAAGGGCAGCGAAACCGCGAGGUCAAGCAAAUCCCAUAAAGUUGUUCUCAGUUCGGAUUGUAGUAUGCAACUCGACUACAUGAAGCUGGAAUCGCUAGUAAUCGUAGAUCAGCAUGCUACGGUGAAUACGUUCCCGGGUCUUGUACACACCGCCCGUCACACCACGAGAGUUUGUAACACCCGAAGCCGGUGGAGUAACCUUUAGGAGCUAGCCGUCGAAAAGGUGGA